UAAGGUUUCACUUCAACCAAGAAAAUUAAAUUAGGUGGUUUUUUUUUUAUUUCCUUUAGGCUACUUUUACUCUUCACACUUUUAGUUCUUCUCAAUUACGAAAUAUAUACAUACAUAUAUACAGACAUGUUUAUAAAUUCUUAAGAUUUCCCGUUCAUUAAAAUUGUUUCACGCAUUUUCCAUUGUAUCGUUGUCAAAAACUGACUAUUAGAACUAUGAGAUUUGCCAGUUUAUAAAUGCUAUCCGGUUUUUUGGCCAUGUUCAUUAGAUGAUCUGUACUUACUACGUGUUUCCGAUCAUCACGCAAAUUUCUCUUUCCAAAGUUAACUAAUUAUCGCAGUGCACGAGUGUGAUAUCAACCCUCCCUCGCCAUUUCUACGCUACCGAUCUCUAGGGCAAGAUCCUAAUGGACAGUGGAGCAAUUUGUGCCAAAGCAGCCUCGUUUGCAUAUUUUAAUUUCGGAGAUUAAAGGGAGAACAUAAACAACCCCGAAGAGAUGGAAAAGAUGAAUAUUCAUGAAGUGUGUAAUCUGUUGUACUACUUUCUCAACAACUUUUUAUCCAAUAGAUGGCAGCACUAGCUCGAGUAGUAUCUAUAUACAUAUAAAUUUUUUUUUUAAUUCGUUGUUUCUCCCAUUGGGAAACGCAAUGAUCAAUAUCUUUUACGAAGACAAGCGGAGAAAAAUAACUGCGCGAACAACUAGAAUAUUUUCGUCGAUUUGCAAGUCCCAAAUCGAUAAAUAUUAAUUAGUAUAAAUUAUGCACGUUUCAUAAUUAAGCUAUUGAUAUUUUAUAAAACAUAUGCAGAAGCUAGAAAAAAUAUAGUAAAGUAUUAAUAUUGUAUUUUGCUAUGUCGUCUUUCUGGAGAUGUCUAAAAAUAAAUAUAUAGCGAUAUUGACUAAUAUACCGUAAUAUAGAAUGGAUCACGAGAGAUUAUGCUACGUAUUCUUUUCAUUUUAUUCGUACAUUCUGAUAUUUGUCGCCAAAAACUUCAUUUUAAUCUUUCAAAAAGCACAAAACCAUAUAAGAAAUAGUUAUUUUGGAAAAUAUAAAGUAUUUUAGCGCAAAGUUAAAAUUUUUUAAAAUUGUUUUUUUUUUUUUUUUUAAUUUUAUGCA
This 1115-nucleotide long non-coding RNA is filed under the name Androctonus crassicauda. The record is from RNAcentral. Lineage: Eukaryota; Metazoa; Arthropoda; Arachnida; Scorpiones; Buthidae.